UUUCCCUCUCCCCGAAAGUUUUUUGCCGCCGCAUUCCACCCUUUUAUCUUCUCAAUCCAUCCCUCUUUUCUCUUUUCUCACAAUCUCUCGCUCACCGGAGCCGCGCAGGAGCAGCAGCAGUCCACGAGUCCAUUAAGGACGCCCUCACCGACAAAACCUCCGACAUGAAAUCCACUAACAGUAAGUGUCCUCUACUUCUUCCUCCUGCAUCUUCUCGUUGAAAACCCUAGAUGCUCCACUGCCUUCCAUCCUAGAUGGGCCUCAGGUUCGCUUCUUCCACUUCGCUCACCUCUGCUACUUCUCCUCCUCCUUAUCAAGCCUCCGCUUGUUUUCUCUUCGAGAUCCUCGCCUCCUCCACCCCUUCCUCCAUCGAGCCUCUGCUUAUUUUCUCAUCACCCUCCUCCCUCUCCCUCCUCCACUCCUUGUCAAUCUUGCAUCCGCCGCUCGCAGUUACAAAUCUGUGGUUGUUCAGCCCCUGCUGGCCAUGCCCACCACAAGUGCCCUGGGGACCGACCCUUUGGAGUUUCGGUUCAACAAGGUAAUUGAGUCGCUCGUGGAUCGAAUUGAUCUAUCGGAAGAAGAGGCGGAAGUGUGCCUCAAGCUUCUACUCAAUGAAGCCAACGAGGCUUUAAUUAGCGCCUUCUCCAAGAGAGGAAAUGUGGACAAUAGUGUUAAAUGCAAUUGCGCAGAUCUUUUCCAGAGACUGUUUAGGCAAGACCUCCAAGCCCAUUCUUUACAAAGCAACUGACAGCUUUUGAGGUGUGGCUAGCCCAUGGCUCUGAACACAAGAAACCACCAGAACAGCUACCAAUAGUUCUUCAGUCUUGUCAGGUAGAUCUGGUGAAAGAUGGUGGUCACACAUAUUUUAUCAAGUUUCAUGAUAGCAUGGAUGCCUAUGCUGAGCAGCGAGCAAUGGCUGCUUUUGUCUUGGCAGUUGUAGUGGAUGGACAUCGGCGGGGACAAGAAGCAUGUAUUCAAGCAAAUUUGUUAAAUGUAUGCCUGAAGCAUUUACAAAUUUCUAAUCCAAGUGAUGGGCAAACUGAACCUUUACUCCUCCAUGGCUUUGUUUAUGUCUGGGAAAGCUCUGGGAAGAUUUUCUAGAAGUACAAAUCAUAGGUUCUCAUGCAGAUGGAGUAGCAACUAUUUUACCUUAAUUGUUGGAACCAUAGCCUGAGGUUAGAGCUUCUGCUAUUUUUGCUUUAGGGAUUCUUAUUGAUGUUGCAUCUAUCACAUUUGAUAAUGGACAUAGAGUUGAUGAGGACUUUGAGGAUAAUGAAAAGUUAAAGUCUGAUUUGAAUAUCAUUAAAAAUCUUCUACAACUUGCUGUGGAUGGAAGUCCUUUGGUGAGGACUGAGGUUGCUGUAGGUAUGUGCAACUAUUAAAGCUUUACUUAUAUGUUGUUUUCUUAUUGGAUUCUCAAGUUUAUGCUCUUAAUUUGAUUUCACAACUAAGGUGUUAUUAACUAAGACUCAAUUGUUUCACAGCUCUUGCUCACUUUACAGGCUAACACACUCAGGUAUGAAACAAAUGAAGACAUGUCUAUAGCACAGGCUAUUAAGCUAGUCAUGGAGAGGCAUUCAAUAUGAUGCAUUAUUAAUGAAUUAAGUCUACUUUAUGAGAUUUCAGAUUUUUUAUUAUUCAUAGGCAUUUA
Molecule: long non-coding RNA, 1651 nt
Organism: Zingiber officinale
Lineage: Eukaryota; Viridiplantae; Streptophyta; Magnoliopsida; Zingiberales; Zingiberaceae
Exons: 5
Source: RefSeq, a predicted model, not a curated record